AUUUUUAGCUUUCUGAGGGAUCUCCAUACCACUUUCCAUAAUGACUACCAAUCUACAUUCCCACAGCAGUGUAGAGGAGUUCCUUCUGCUCCAUAUCCUUGCCAGCGUUUAUUGUCUCCUGACCAGGAACUUUUGUGAGUGCGUUGAUGGCCCAGAGCUUUAAAUAUCACCAGCCCCAAGAGCACCACUCUCUGAACCAGAGAUGAAGGUGUCUAUGUUCCAAACGCAGAUGAAUGGCCCCUGUGGAAUUUUGAAGGUGACUGAAAAACCUGUAGCUUGGACUCACGGCCGUCUGGAUUUCUUUGACUUGUUUGAAAGCCAAGAGUAAUUGGAUUCCUACAAACGUGGCUGAAUUUUCGACAUCACUGAGAUGAGAAAAAAAUGGAGAAUUUGAAGCAACGCAAGAUUCGCAAAUUCAGAAACUUCCUUUGUUCUCCAGCUAAGAUUGACCUUUUCCUCUCAGGGUUGAAAGGUUAUGUCCUAAUAAGUUUGGAUUGUGCAACCGAAAAGAUAUAUUUCCAUUAAAUGAAGCAAAGCUGUAAAAGCCA
Molecule: long non-coding RNA, 548 nt
Organism: Heterocephalus glaber (naked mole-rat)
Lineage: Eukaryota; Metazoa; Chordata; Mammalia; Rodentia; Bathyergidae
Source: RefSeq, a predicted model, not a curated record